Pieris napi is the source of this 554-nucleotide long non-coding RNA. RefSeq lists it as uncharacterized. The transcript is spliced from 2 exons. Lineage: Eukaryota; Metazoa; Arthropoda; Insecta; Lepidoptera; Pieridae. The record is from RefSeq and is a predicted model, not a curated record.
ACCCUAGAUCACUAAACAUUAGUCUCACAGGCUACACGACUCUGACGCAUUCGCUGUUUAUGUAUGUUCCCGUUACCGCACCCCCCUCAGCCGCUCAGUACCUUCCUAAUUCGGCCAAUCAGUGACCCGUGAACUCGCAUUGCGUACGCACGCUUCCUACUUCCGGAGAUAUUACGCAAUAGUAGUCUCUCAGGCUAAUGUUUAGUAAUUGCGCCACAAAAGUGAAGAAAGAUGGAUUUGAUACGAGAUCAAGAUAAAAUAUUGCAGAUUUUGAACGAGUCAGAUAAUGACGAUGACGAUUCACCAUUUUUUGGACCAUCUGGUGUGCCUUCGGACUCCGAACCUGAUGACAACUUAGAGGAGGACUUAGUCGAGGAUACCGACGAAAUUGAAGAUGAUUCGUCGAGUUCUUCUGAUGAAGAUCUAAAUGUUUCCCGGAGAAGCCGUAACAGAAACAGAAUCCUAGAUUCUGAUGAUGAUUCUUUGGAGUGUUUGCAGCCUUGUCCACCCAUAGCUUCUCACCAGGAUCUGGUAAUACAACCUGAGAGACCAUA